UUAAGUUCAGCGGGUAUCCCUACCUGAUCCGAGGCCAACCACAGAAUUGGGGGGGGGCUGGCAGGCCACCGCAGGACCCUAGAGCGAGAGCUGUACUACGCUUAGGGCCAGGCGCGCCGCCACUAUCUUUAGGGCCGGCCGGACAGGCUAGGCCCAACACCAAGCCAGGCUUGAGGGUUGAAAUGACGCUCGAACAGGCA
Molecule: unclassified non-coding RNA, 200 nt
Filed under: Oidiodendron sp.
Lineage: Eukaryota; Fungi; Ascomycota; Leotiomycetes; Myxotrichaceae
Description: partial internal transcribed spacer 2
Source: RNAcentral